This 250-nucleotide long non-coding RNA is filed under the name Lepisosteus oculatus (spotted gar). RNAcentral's name for it is "lncRNA (ENSLOCG00000022636.1)". The record is from RNAcentral. Lineage: Eukaryota; Metazoa; Chordata; Actinopteri; Semionotiformes; Lepisosteidae.
UAGCACUUUCCGGGAAACUCCACUCAAAGCACUUAUUGGAUGAUGAGGACUCGGUGCCACCACCACCAAUAUGCAGCAUUCACCUGGCUUUUUGCAAAGCCUUUGUUUUCUGGCAGGAUUUCGCCAUACCAUCCUUUGAAGUUCCUGAGUCAGCCAAGACAGGGUGAAAGUUCUUCAAUGAAAGUUCUAUUAUCUUGAGAUGGGAUUUGGGACCAGAUGGUACAAAAGUCUACUUUUAAAUUUUUCUGCA